Molecule: ribosomal RNA, 1400 nt
Filed under: Acinetobacter sp. CIP 64.7
Lineage: Bacteria; Pseudomonadati; Pseudomonadota; Gammaproteobacteria; Moraxellales; Moraxellaceae
Description: bacterial LSU rRNA
Rfam family: Bacterial large subunit ribosomal RNA
Source: RNAcentral
CUCUAUGCUGAGAACUGAUAGCAAGCUGUACUUGUACAGUGAAGUGGCUGAUACCAUGCUUCCAGGAAAAGUCUCUAAGCUUCAGUUACACAGGAAUCGUACCCGAAACCGACACAGGUGGUCAGGUCGAGUAGACCAAAGCGCUUGAGAGAACUCUGCUGAAGGAACUAGGCAAAAUGGUACCGUAACUUCGGGAGAAGGUACGCUGUUGUCUGUGAUAGGACUUGCUCCUUGAGCGGGCGACAGCCUCAGAAACCAGGCCCCUGCAACUGUUUAUUAAAAACAUAGCACUCUGCAAACACGAAAGUGGACGUAUAGGGUGUGAUGCCUGCCCGGUGCUGGAAGGUUAAUUGAUGGGGUUAGCGUAAGCGAAGCUCUUGAUCGAAGCCCCAGUAAACGGCGGCCGUAACUAUAACGGUCCUAAGGUAGCGAAAUUCCUUGUCGGGUAAGUUCCGACCUGCACGAAUGGCAUAAUGAUGGGGGCGCUGUCUCCAGCAGAGACUCAGUGAAAUCGAAUUCGCCGUGAAGAUGCGGUGUACCCGCGGCUAGACGGAAAGACCCCGUGAACCUUUACUGCAGCUUGACAUUGAACUUUGAUCUUACUUGUGUAGGAUAGGUGGGAGGCUUUGAAGUCGCGACGCUAGUUGCGAUGGAGCCGUCCUUGAAAUACCACCCUGGUAAUAUUGAGGUUCUAACUCUGUCCCGUUAUCCGGGACGAGGACCAUGUCUGGUGGGUAGUUUGACUGGGGCGGUCUCCUCCUAAAGAGUAACGGAGGAGUACGAAGGUGCGCUCAGCGUGGUCGGAAAUCACGCGUAGAGUAUAAAGGCAAAAGCGCGCUUAACUGCGAGACCCACAAGUCGAGCAGGUACGAAAGUAGGUCUUAGUGAUCCGGUGGUUCUGUAUGGAAGGGCCAUCGCUCAACGGAUAAAAGGUACUCUGGGGAUAACAGGCUGAUACCGCCCAAGAGUUCAUAUCGACGGCGGUGUUUGGCACCUCGAUGUCGGCUCAUCUCAUCCUGGGGCUGAAGCAGGUCCCAAGGGUAUGGCUGUUCGCCAUUUAAAGAGGUACGCGAGCUGGGUUUAGAACGUCGUGAGACAGUUCGGUCCCUAUCUACCGUGGGCGUUGGAAAUUUGAGAGGAUCUGCUCCUAGUACGAGAGGACCAGAGUGGACGAACCUCUGGUGUACCGGUUGUCACGCCAGUGGCAUCGCCGGGUAGCUAUGUUCGGAAGGGAUAACCGCUGAAAGCAUCUAAGCGGGAAGCCUACCUCAAGAUAAGAUUUCCCCGAGACUUUAUGUCUCCUAAAGAGCCGUUGAAGACUACGACGUUGAUAGGUUGGAUGUGGAAGCAUAGUGAUAUGUGAAGCUGACCAAUACUAAUUGCUCGUGAGGCUUGACUAU